AAUUGAGACUCUUUAUUAAUAUUAUUUUCUAAAAUAUAAUCAGUAAACGUAUAAUUAUCUGCUGAAGCUAAAAAAAUGAGCUCAACAAAACCAUCAUCAACAUGUUUAGGUGGUAAGAAAGCUAGACUAAAAAAAUAUUUUAAUCUAAGGCAUAUUUCUAUAUUAUUUGUUUACUUAAUAAAUAAUUAUUCGAUUGGAUUUUACGAUAACAGCG
Molecule: non-coding RNA, 214 nt
Organism: Cinara cedri
Lineage: Eukaryota; Metazoa; Arthropoda; Insecta; Hemiptera; Aphididae
Source: the annotation of a GenBank genome assembly